Non-coding RNA from Brenneria goodwinii, 148 nucleotides. It matches the Rfam family "Salmonella enterica Typhi npcRNA 44". NCBI's taxonomy places the organism in Bacteria, Pseudomonadati, Pseudomonadota, Gammaproteobacteria, Enterobacterales, Pectobacteriaceae. The record is from Rfam.
CUUUAACAAUCUGGAACAAGCUGAAAUUUGAAACGAUGCGGCUAAACAUAUCUCUCCGUGUAGUACUGAGAUGUGAUUUGGCUGUAUCAGAGUCUCUCAAAUAAUCGCAGCGCGAAUGUGACUUGAUGUAUCAAAAAGACACCUUCGG